UCUGCACCUUCCUUUAAUUCCUCUUCCUUUCUAUUCCCCUCCGCUGGCCAUCUCCCCAACGAACGCCUCGUCUCCUUCCCUUCCUCUGUACGCUAGCACCUACAGGAAGAUAAACAUACACAACGAGAAACUGCCAAGCAAUCACACAAGAAGCUGCCUCCUGUCCUCCUCCAUAAUUCCCAUAAGUGUCCACCGGUUCCAAAACUGAAGGUACAGGGACCUGCGCCUCAAUCUCCUCCCUCGUUUCCCUUAGCCCUCUUCCAUCUCUCUUCUCCGUCCUCCCAGAGAACUCCUCCCAAAGAAACAGUGUUCCAUUUACAUCGGAACUUGAUUCUGAUGAAGGAGACCAUCCCAGUCCAUGCCCUUGCGCCAAAAGGUUCUCUUUCAUGCGUUGAAUCCAUUCAGGGAGGAAAGAAAGCGAUCCGUGGACCACACGCGCAGAAUUUCGCAUGUCAGUCUACACUGUUCGUCGAGUUCUUCGCGUCGUUCUGUCAAACAUGGUGAGCCUCUAUCAAAUUCCUUUUGCACGCGUACUCACCAUCAUCUACUCUAUCUCGUAGACAUCAUCAUUCAGCUCAUCUAUGUCGUUGCUCACGCUGAUGCAUGAACGGAUUCUAUCGACAUGUCCGCGUACUUUUUAGUUUCUCGGAUGAUCUUGUGUUCAACAUAUGAUUUGUUUCUCAUACCCAUAGUAACCCCAUGAUGGAGUUAGAUCGCUAGUUUUAUCAAUAGGAUUUUAGUAUACAUUUUGUUAUAGCCGUUCUUGCCUAAGAUUUAAUGGAGUUUGUUCAUCGGUUAAAUUUUAUAUUAAUUUGUUAUUGUUCUUAUGUUUGCGAUAUGCCUAGAAGUGCAUCCUAGUGGUCUCAUAAUUUUUGCCUGUGAUAAAUGGCUUAUUAGAGUUAUUGUUUAUUGUUUACCGAUUAUAGUUUUUGUUGUCGCAAGUUGAUAAUUUUUUGUAUUGUUAUUGACUUGUGUUAGACAUGUCUAUAGAUAUUGAGUAUAGUCUGGUAUGUUGUUAUGUAGAUAAUUUCUUGUAUCAUGUAGUAGUGGGAGAUGCUUUUGUAAUAGCUAUUGUGACUUAUCAUCAUGAGUAGUAGUUGAUCGGUGAACUUUUGUGUUAAUUUUAUAUGUUCGGGAUAUAGUUAGGAGUGUAUGCUAGUUGUCUCAUAAUUUUCUGUGUGGCAUGUGACAUGUUAAAUUUAUUGUUUACCGAUUAUAUUUUGUUUAAAAUAAGUUUUGCAUGCUAUUUCCACUUGACAAUUUGGUGUAUUGUGUAUAGUCCUCUUUUAUGCAUGCAUACAAUAUUUGCUGGACGCUCAACAUGCUUAUAUUUAUGUGGAACUAUUCUAAGUUUUGCUUUAUGUAUCUAAUCAUGAAAUACUUCAUGUUUCAUUUAGUUUAGUUCAUUCACUAGCAUGAAGAUAUCUUAGGUAUAUUUUAUAUAUUGACUUCACCUUUGUUGCAUGUGUAUUUGUCAGGGUUUUUUUAUCAUAUCAGGUGAUACUUUAGGUGAUAUUUAUUUAAAUUAUUUGUGUUACCUAGUUUUGUUACUAGUGGUUAUGAAAAUUUGGUAUGUUAUCGACCAUAGUCAUAGUACUUGUUGUAGGUCUAUUGUUUGCGUUUAUAUUAUGUGUUAUCAUGCAUGGAGAUCAUUACUUUUAUAGAGUGUGAGGAUUGCGCUUUACAGUGUAGUGCUUCUCAUUUCUUAGAUGUUUGUUAUCCGAAAUUGCAUGGUUGGAUACUUCAUGUCAUGGUUAUAUUUGUAUUGCUUUACAUAAUUUAUUUUUGUGGCAUAGAGCAUAGCUUAUAACAUCUUAGUAAUUUUCAUGUGUGUUUAUUUAUCCUAGUUUAUUACCAUGCCAUGUUGGUAAUUGCUUAAAGUAGAAUACAUGGUUUUAUUGUAUGUCCCAAGUGUUGCAACAUUGCUAGUUCGUACUUUUUGUUCGCACGUAUGGUUAGCCUUUUCCUGUUAGACAUACAUGUUACCAGUGUAUGAUCUCCUAUGACUUAAGUUUGAUGCUUGAUCAAUACCCCGCAUGAUGAUGCGACUGCAUAACUAGAUUGUAUAGCAUGUGUGUACGAGUUCAUGUAUUAGAUCAUGCCUAGUGGUGUAUCUUAUGUCGUUGCAACUCUAGAUUGUAACAAAUAGAGGUGCAUGCCAUUUUCACUCAUGCUAGUAUAGUACAUUACUUGAUGUCAUGAUCUAGUUGUCUAACUUGCAAAUGAUUAGUAUGACAUGUCCAUGUGCUUAUAGGACAUAACUAUGUCCAUGUUUUUAUAUGAGAUAACUAGUAUGUAAGGUUCUGUGCUCUUGCCAUUCUUGAUACUCAUGUUAGCCGAUAUCAACUAAGUUAUCUUAUUUUGUGAGUUGUAUUCUAUUAGUACCAUACUUUGGCAUCUCGUGUGAUGAUCAUUCAUACUUAGUGUUAUACAUUGUAUCUAAUUAUUGCGUUGUUGGGUAUCUAGAUGUUGUUCAUGCAAGUGAUCUUUCAUGUUUUAUGAUGUUUCAUGUGUUAUAGUUGCACUUGUGUUGCUCAUAUGUGGUUGACUUGUCUCAUGUUAGUGUUAUGAGUGUUUGGCACAUGUUGCAUUAGCUCCUCACAUGAUUAGGAUAGUUUAACUUUCAAUAGUUGAGUUGUGUCUUUCUCAUAUGCUUAGUGCACAUUGUUGCUUUGUUGUUAAUCAUGUUGUCGUAAUCUUGUUGCCAUAGGUCAUUUGGAUAUUAGUUGUUUCCUUUAUUAUAAAGAAUGUCCUAGUUUAGUAUCUUCUCAUGGUCACUCAUAUAUUUAAUGCUUGUGUUAUUAUAUAAGACCUCUUCACGAUUCUAUACUCACAUGCCUUGUAUGAUGUGUCUGAUUAUUUAAUUUACCAAUUAGUUUUGUGAUAGCAUUGGUUUGUCUUUUGUUAUAGAAAUGCUUACUAAUAGUCAUGAUUGGGGUUUAGUAUUUGCUUGUUAUUAACCAUUAUAAAUAUUUGAAUUCAUUCAAAUAUUUAUUUUUGGUUGAUUAUUAAUCUUAAUGAUAUCAUGUCUAGGAUAGUUGUUCAUCCAUUGUUCCACGUGUUGUAUAGUUUCUUGUCAAUUGUUUGAGUGAUGAAUUGGUUUGAUUUGAUGGAGUGGAUCCUAUUUUAUUUUCAUAAUGGUUGGGCCAGACCUAGAUCAAUUCAAUUAAUGUUGUUGAAUGAUGUUUGAUUGCUUCAGUAGCAUGUUUUAUAAUGUUGGUUUGGUUGUCGUAUAGAACACUUGUUUUGAGUUAUUACAGAGUUAAUGUAUAUGUUUGGAUUCUAUUGACCAUUAUGAAUAUUUAGAUUUUGCUAAAUAUUUAAUUGUGGUUAUCUUUUACAUUUAUCAUGCCAUGUUUUGUUUGUGUAAAUAAAAUACAUAGGAUGAUUCCAUUAAUUCCAUGCUUGUUGGUGCCAUUGUGUUUCUCAUAUGGUUGUUUCCUAUAUUGUUACUCAUGAUGUGUAGUGGGCACUACUAAUGGUCUGUUAGCAUAGUUCUUACUAGAACGUUAGUCUUGAUCACCAGGCCUUCCGUAGCUUUGUAAACCUAAACCUUGUUGUUUAAUCCUCUCUCUUACAUCCAAUCGUGCUACCUCAUUUCGGAGUCUCCAUCUUCAUCAAUAUCUUGCUAUCCACCCACUCUUAAAUUGUUUUGGAUGUUAUUUGGAUUUGUUAUUGCUUUGGUAUUUAUUUGUUUGUCUUUUGCUAUCAUUACGACGAGUAGGGAUUGACGACGGUGUUGGACAUGGACAGAAACAGGUUACCGAAGAAGGACUCAACAACGAAGGCAUGCCUCCUCCUUAAUCAUACUUAUCCUAUGGUUUACAAAAUUGCAUUAAGUUUUAUUGUUACUAUAUGCAUGCUAUUUUAAUUCUCGUAGCUAGCGUGUCCAUUGACACAUUACCUUGAUCCGCUUGUCUCCUAUUUACUUGACACCUGUGUAGAAGUAUAUAGUUCCAGUAGAGUAGAAAUGCUUAGCCAUGCUUAUCAUCCUAUAGGUGCUUUGUUGAAUGACCUCUAGGUCAUUGACAGUUGAAACUUAACGCUGAGCUAAGCCAGUUGGCCCUUGUUGAACUCCUCUACUCUCUUCUACUCUGGGUGAAACUUACCAUCUGAAUACUGGUGCGGGCGACAGCUGAAUCAAGGAUUGAAGGAGCGAUUGGCCGCCCUUCACUUGUUGAAGGGGGCAAUCAGUCGUCCGUGCCGCAUGAGGCCUAAUAAGUCUUGGAUUUGAAGAUUGUGAUAAUAGUACAACCACAUGCUAUACGGGCACUGGCUUGGUUAAUUAGUUAGUUCACUCUUAUUGUCGUCAUCGCCGUACCGCAGAUGGGAUAGCUGCCUUGCGAGGAGUAUCCUUGGCACAAAAGGAGGCCCGGACUGUGAACUACAGUUACUUCCGUGUUGAAACCUAGUGGGCUUGGCACAGUAAGUUUGGUCUAAUGAAAGACCUCGUCACAAUCUCCCUGCCUGUAUACCAAAUGGUGUACUAUGCCAGCGGCCACUGGUGGCAACAAGUCGAGAUUGUGUCGUGUGGGUAAAGUGUACAACCUCUGCAGAGUGUAAAACUAUUCAAAUAGCCGUGUCCACGAUCAUGGGCAACACAUGAAUCUUUCUUGACGUACGGGACCUGUCUUGCUUAUUCCCUCUUUGCCCCUAUUCUUGAAACCUAUGAAGGACGUGAGUUGAUCGAGGAUCCUCACUUGAAGAAAGAUAUUAUUCUGGAGAUAAAACAUGUUUUCAUCUAAAAUCGCUAUUAUUCAACUACCUUAUUUGUCAAACAAAAUUAGCUUUAUGCAAAUGAGCCAUAGAGCCUUCCUUUGAAGCCACAUGUAGCUAUUAGGUCCUUCCCCGUGGGAGGCAUUUUGAGUACGUAAUGUACUCAUGGCAAUACUUUUGUUGAACAACAGAGAUCUAUGAAGACAAGGGCGUCGACUACGAUUAUUAUGAUGAUCCUGAGGAGUGAGGACACAUUGACUACAUCGACUGCCUGUGGCUGAGAUGGAGUUGCUACGCGUUAUAUAUUCCACUAUGUUUCUGAUUGUAAUAAAUGUCUUGAGACAUUCCAGUAUGUAUGCCUUGUGGGAAGAGUUGUUAAACUUAUACUUAUUUUAAUGUUCCGCAAUGAUACCAUUUCACUGCGUUGCCAAGUUGAUCCUAGGUUUGACAAAUAUACACAGGAG
This 5180-nucleotide long non-coding RNA is filed under the name Triticum aestivum (bread wheat). RNAcentral describes it as "long non-coding RNA (TAES_LNC022362)". The record is from RNAcentral. Lineage: Eukaryota; Viridiplantae; Streptophyta; Magnoliopsida; Poales; Poaceae.